Molecule: unclassified non-coding RNA, 253 nt
Filed under: uncultured Solirubrobacterales bacterium
Lineage: Bacteria; Bacillati; Actinomycetota; Thermoleophilia; Solirubrobacterales
Description: contains 16S-23S intergenic spacer region
Rfam family: Bacterial small subunit ribosomal RNA
Source: RNAcentral
UACGUAGGGUGCAAGCGUUGUCCGGAAUUAUUGGGCGUAAAGAGCGUGUAGGCGGCUUGAUAAGUCUGCUGUGAAAGUCCAGGGCUCAACCCUGGAAAGCCGGUGGAUACUGUUGAGCUAGAGUCCGGAAGGGGCGAGUGGAAUUCCUGGUGUAGCGGUGAAAUGCGCAGAUAUCAGGAGGAACACCAGUGGCGAAGGCGACUCUUUGGCCUAUAACUGACGCUGAGGCGCGAAAGCGUGGGGAGCAAACAGG